UACGGAGGGUGCAAGCGUUGUCCGGAUUCAUUGGGUUUAAAGGGUGCGUAGGCGGCUUAUUAAGUCUGUGGUGAAAGCCGGCGGCUCAACUGUCGAACUGCCAUUGAUACUGAUAAGCUUGAGUAGAGUCGAGGUAGGCGGAAUUUAUGGUGUAGCGGUGAAAUGCAUAGAUACCAUAAAGAACACCGAUAGUGAAGACAGUUUACCAGGCUACAACUGACGCUGAGGCACGAAAGCAUGGGGAUCGAACGGG
RNAcentral lists this ribosomal RNA (253 nucleotides) under uncultured bacterium. Its description in RNAcentral is "partial 16S ribosomal RNA". It matches the Rfam family "Bacterial small subunit ribosomal RNA", at positions 524 to 776 of the family's 1533-position model. The record is from RNAcentral.